AAUGCGAUAAAUUUAUAAUUUAAGGUUAUACUUAUUUUAUAUUCGAUAUUAAUUGACGAUAAUCAGAGGAAAUAAAUAAAACAAAAAAUAUUCAGUGUAAUAACUUCUUGCAAUAGAGGAAGAGGCAGAGGUAAUAGAGGCAGGAGGAGCAGAAAGUGAAACACCUCUUACUCCUGUGGAGACAGAGAAGCCUCUUGCUCCACCUAAAUAUGAAGUGCGACCUGGUCUUGGAGAAAAAUUUCAGGCCCAAAAUG
Molecule: long non-coding RNA, 254 nt
Organism: Pieris napi
Lineage: Eukaryota; Metazoa; Arthropoda; Insecta; Lepidoptera; Pieridae
Exons: 3
Source: RefSeq, a predicted model, not a curated record